Entelurus aequoreus (snake pipefish) is the source of this 576-nucleotide long non-coding RNA. RefSeq lists it as uncharacterized. The transcript is spliced from 4 exons. The record is from RefSeq and is a predicted model, not a curated record. NCBI's taxonomy places the organism in Eukaryota, Metazoa, Chordata, Actinopteri, Syngnathiformes, Syngnathidae.
UUUGGUGCAAAUGGCAAGCAGAAAUGAAAGGAAUUUUAUACGACAUGAGCAGCACCGCCUGCGACCCCGAACGGGACAAGCGGUAGAAAAUGGAUGAGUCAAAGAAAAGAAGCGCUUGAUUUGCUCACCCUGACCCACCUGCUGCACAGCACAGUACAGAACAUUCUGUGCAAAUGGCACGCAAAAAUAAAAGGAUUGGCCCUGCGAUGAGGUGGCGACUUGUCCAGGGUGUAUCCAGCCUUCCGCCCAAAUGCAGCUGAGAUAGAAUCCAGCACCCCCCGACGCCCCGAAAGGGACAAGCGGUAGAAAAAUGGAUGGAUGGAUGGAGUCGGAGAAAAGAAGCGCUUGAUCUGCAGCACAGCACAGUACAGACGAGCAUCGCCCCCCCCCCCGCCCGCCAGGUGUGUGAAGACCAGUCUUUUCCACCUGACACCGUGAACUUUGACCCCUGCGGAACACAGUCGCCGAUCGGACCCCAGGGGGCGGGGCUUGUUGACCUGCUGCUGAGGAAGUGACACGUGCAAAAUGGCUGCAAGACUUUUAACGAGUGACCAUCUUCUCCCAGCGGUGUGGAAG